RNAcentral lists this ribosomal RNA (316 nucleotides) under uncultured bacterium. Its description in RNAcentral is "bacterial SSU rRNA". It matches the Rfam family "Bacterial small subunit ribosomal RNA", at positions 164 to 507 of the family's 1533-position model. The record is from RNAcentral.
UAAUACCGCAUGAUGCCUGAGGGCCAAAGACGAAAGCGUUUGAGGAGGAGCCUGCGUCUGAUUAGGUAGUUGGUGGGGUAAAGGGCCUACCAAGACCUGCGAUCAGUAGCUGGUCUGAGAGGAUGAUCAGCCACACUGGGACUGAGACGCGGCCCAGACUCCUACGGGAGGCAGCAGGUGGGGAAUAUUGGACAAUGGGCGCAAGCCUGAUCCAGCAAUGCCGCGUGGGUGAAGAAGGUCUUCGGAUUGUAAACGUCCCUUUUGGGCGGGGACGAUGAUGACGGUACCCGCAGAAUAAGCUCCGGCUAACUUCGUG